UGAGUGAUCCGGUGAAUUAUUCGGACCUUGACUAAGUCAGUUCUGACCUGGUUGGGGGAAGUCUUGUGAACCUUAUCACUUAGAGGAAGGAGAAGUCGUAACAAGGUUUCCGUAGGUGAACCUGCGGAAGGAUCAUUC
Molecule: ribosomal RNA, 138 nt
Filed under: uncultured fungus
Lineage: Eukaryota; Fungi
Description: partial 18S ribosomal RNA
Rfam family: Eukaryotic small subunit ribosomal RNA
Source: RNAcentral